Molecule: ribosomal RNA, 324 nt
Filed under: Triticum aestivum (bread wheat)
Lineage: Eukaryota; Viridiplantae; Streptophyta; Magnoliopsida; Poales; Poaceae
Description: partial small subunit ribosomal RNA
Source: RNAcentral
AUGCCGUCCAUCAUGGUGAUCGGCCAGGUGCUGCUCCUCGACAUCCUCACCUUCGUCCUCGUCAUCGGCACCGAGCGCCGCCGGAGCACGGCCGAGACUGGUGGCAUGCGGUACUGCGUGUACGACGCGGAUGCGUCCACCUGGUACGGCGUCGGCACGCUCGCCCUGCUGCUGGUCGGACAGACCAUCGCCAUGGUGGCCAGCCAGUGCUUCUGCUACGGCCGCGCGCUCUCCCCCGAUCGCUGGCGCUUCUUCUCCGGCCUCUUCUUCAUCCCCUGCUGACAGCUUGUGCAAUAUGUUCUGAAGGGUGUUCUCCCAAUAUGA